UGACAAGCAGCUCAAGCACUGAAGUGGGGAAACUCUCCCAGCUUCUCCCAAGGACCUGGGAAGACACACCGAAUUUGCUGCAAUAGAAAAGCUGUUGGCCAAAGUACAAGCCUGAAGAAAAUAACACACCUUGCCAGUGGACAAGGAGGAUGGUGGGAGUAAAGGCCUUAUGAAGAUUCAGCUGAAAGACUCUGGGUGAGUUGGGGUCCUGUAUCAGGGCUGUAUUAGUUAGGAGGGGCAGACAUCCAUUACACAAUGAUAUGACAGCAUUUUUCUUCUUUAAUUGUAGACUUUUAUUGAUAUGAAUGGUUAUGUGCAGUUUUUCUGCACAGAAGCUUCACAAGUGCAGGACUUCGAGUCCAUGAAUAGCGUUAUGUGUAAAACUCUGUUGAUAGUACGGCACAGAGGCUGCACUCUCCUAUCCCCUUGUUUCAGCUAGACUGUCCUUUCUGGCUGCAUGGAUCUCCUUCCCCACCUGCCACCUGGAGAUGUGUAGUACAGGCCAGGUUUUGAGCUGGUUCAUCCCACAUAACGCAAGAGUAGGAGGGACAAGUGACAGCCACAUCUUAAUCAGCAUGAAAUAGAGAAUUGAGGCAGAGUCUAGACACGCUUUUUGCCUGCUGGUUGUUUUGCUUUGACAUGCAUAAUAACAAACAUAACGAGCGUGCCAGUAUUUAUGCUUUUGAACCAGGCAGCAUUGAGGAUUGCCCUCUUUGUUCUUUCUGCAUUUCUGUGACUCCAAAAAAUGCCCAAAUGCCUCGUUAUCCGACUGGUGUAAAUACACCAUGGCUGAUGUAAUUCAAUCGAACAGCUCAAGAUCCAAACACCUGAUAACAAGGAGAAUUGUUGUGUGAGUCUUUCAUAUCUGUGUAGAUGCUAGAGGCUGAUACCAUGUGGCAGGAGCCAGGAGCCAGUGUAGCUGCGAGGAAAGGGACCCACAGAGACUGCGCCAGCUUAUCUCACCUGUGCAGAGGUAAUCAUGAAGGGGAAAAUAAUGAGAAGACAUUUAAGAAGCACAACAGGAGAGGUGAGCAAGUUACAUUCAGGAGAAUACAUAAAUCAAGGGUAGGGAUCCUAGUAAAGACGGA
Molecule: long non-coding RNA, 1088 nt
Filed under: Junco hyemalis (dark-eyed junco)
Lineage: Eukaryota; Metazoa; Chordata; Aves; Passeriformes; Passerellidae
Description: lncRNA (ENSJHYG00000006159.1)
Source: RNAcentral